RNAcentral lists this ribosomal RNA (1352 nucleotides) under uncultured marine eukaryote. RNAcentral describes it as "SSU rRNA". It matches the Rfam family "Eukaryotic small subunit ribosomal RNA", at positions 411 to 1775 of the family's 1831-position model. The record is from RNAcentral.
CACUUCUAAGGAAGGCAGCAGGCGCGCAAAUUACCCAAUCCUGACUCAGGGAGGUAGUGACAAGAAAUAACAAUAAACCGGCUUAUGCCGGUUUAAUUGGAAUGAGUACAAUUUAAACAUCUUAACGAGGAACAAUUGGAGGGCAAGUCUGGUGCCAGCAGCCGCGGUAAUUCCAGCUCCAAUAGCGUAUACUAAAGUUGUUGCAGUUAAAAAGCUCGUAGUUGGAUUUCUGUGGGGACGGAGCGGCCGGCCGCACAUCGCGGUUCGAGCUAGCGCUUUCCCUACAUCCUGCCGCGAACCGUGCUACCAUUAGUUUGGUGGCGCCGGGGAUCGGCUCGAUUACUUUGAGAAAAAUAGAGUGUUCAAAGCAGGCCACAUGCCUUGAAUAAGUUAGCAUGGAAUAAUAACUAAGGACUUCGGUUCUAUUUUGUUGGUGUUCGGGACUGAAGUAAUGAUUGAUAGGGACAGUUGGGGCGGUCUGUAUUCCAAAGCGAGAGGUGAAAUUCUUAGACCUUCGGAAGACAAACAGCUGCGAAAGCGUUCCGCAAGGAUAUUCCCUUUGAUCAAGAACGAAAGUUGGGGGAUCGAAGACGAUCAGAUACCGUCGUAGUCUCAACUAUAAACUAUACCAGCUAGGGAUCGGCCAACGUUAUUUUAUACCGACUUGGUCGGCACCUUAUGAGAAAUCAAAGCAUCUGGGUUCCGGGGGGAGUAUGGUCGCAAGGCUGAAACUUAAAGGAAUUGACGGAAGGGCACCACCAGCCGUGGAGCCUGUGGCUUAAUUUGACUCAACACGGGAAAACUUACCAGGUCCAGACAUAGUAAGGAUUGACAGAUUGAUAGCUCUUUCUUGAUUCUGUGGGUGGCGGUGCAUGGCCGUUCUUAGUUGGUGGAGUGAUUUGUCUGGUUAAUUCCGUUAACGAACGAGACCCCAGCCUGCUAAAUAGCGCGAGUGAGCUUUGCUCGCUGCGAGCUUCUUAGAGGGACUAUGAUGCGCGAUAGCACAUGGAAGUUUGGGGCAAUAACAGGUCUGUGAUGCCCUUAGAUGUUCUGGGCCGCACACGGGCUACACUGGCGCCUGCAACGAGCAUAUCAGCUGGCCCGAGAGGGUCUUGGCUAAUCUUUUGAACCGGCGCCGUGCUUGGGAUUGACCUUUGCAAUUGUUGGUCAUGCAACGAGGAAUGCCUUGUAAACGCGAGUCAUCAGCUCGCAUUGAAUACGUCCCUGCCCUUUGUACACACCGCCCGUCGCUCCUACCGAUGAAUGUUCCGAUGAAAUUUUCGGAGAGCACCUGUGAACUUGGCUCUGCCUUGCGAACGGGAGGCUCAAAGUCACUUAAAUCUGAACAUUUC